Budorcas taxicolor (takin) is the source of this 72-nucleotide non-coding RNA. The record is from the annotation of a RefSeq genome assembly. NCBI's taxonomy places the organism in Eukaryota, Metazoa, Chordata, Mammalia, Artiodactyla, Bovidae.
GGCCCCAUGGUGUAAUGGUUAGCACUGUGGACUUCGAAUCCAGUGAUCAGAGUUCAAAUCUCUGUGGGACCU